This 489-nucleotide ribosomal RNA is filed under the name Triticum aestivum (bread wheat). RNAcentral's name for it is "partial small subunit ribosomal RNA". The record is from RNAcentral. Lineage: Eukaryota; Viridiplantae; Streptophyta; Magnoliopsida; Poales; Poaceae.
AUGAUGAUAGAGAUCAUACUGAGAAAGAGGAUAAUUCUAUACGGGUACAACUCUUAUUUGAACGAAGUGCAAAAAAUGCGAUCUUUUUUGUCUAAUAGAACAAACACUAAUACCUUAAUUGAGUCGGUAAAGAUCAAAUCUGUUUAUCAAAGUGCUUCUCUGAUUGCUCAAGACAUCUCUUUUCAACUGAGGCACAAUCCAAUCUCAUUUCGUUCCAUUUUUAGUAAAAUAGUGAAGGAUAUUCCAUUAAUAAUGCCAAAAGGGGUCGAGGGGAUACGUAUUUGUUAUUCUGGUCGAUUAGGGGAUGCGGAAAUAGCUAGAACUGAAUGCGGAAAGUAUGGAAAAACAUCUUGUAAUGUAUUUAACCAGAAAAACGAUUAUGCUCCCGCAGAAGUAUCUACUCGUAACGGAAUUUCAGGUGUCAAAGUGCGGAUCUCAUAUAGUCAAAAUAAGAAGGGACGUGCUAUAUCCGAAUCGUACAAAAUAUAG